RNAcentral lists this ribosomal RNA (369 nucleotides) under Natronocalculus amylovorans. RNAcentral describes it as "bacterial SSU rRNA". It matches the Rfam family "Archaeal small subunit ribosomal RNA", at positions 460 to 828 of the family's 1478-position model. Lineage: Archaea; Methanobacteriati; Methanobacteriota; Halobacteria; Halobacteriales; Haloferacaceae. The record is from RNAcentral.
AGCCGCCGCGGUAAUACCGGCAGCUCGAGUGAUGACCGAUUUUAUUGGGCCUAAAGCGUCCGUAGCUGGCCGUACAAGUCCGUCGGGAAAUCUACCUGCCCAACAGGUAGGCGUCCGGCAGAAACUGUAUGGCUUGGAACCGGAAGGCGUGAAGGGUACGUCUGGGGUAGGAGUGAAAUCCUGUAAUCCCAGACGGACCACCGAUGGCGAAAGCACUUCACGAGGACGGAUUCGACAGUGAGGGACGAAAGCUAGGGUCUCGAACCGGAUUAGAUACCCGGGUAGUCCUAGCCGUAAACGAUGUCUGUUAGGUGUGACUCCCACUACGAGUGGGUGUUGUGCCGUAGGGAAGCCGCUAAACAGACCGCC